This 253-nucleotide ribosomal RNA is filed under the name uncultured bacterium. Its description in RNAcentral is "partial 16S ribosomal RNA". It matches the Rfam family "Bacterial small subunit ribosomal RNA", at positions 524 to 776 of the family's 1533-position model. The record is from RNAcentral.
UACAGAGGUCUCAAGCGUUGUUCGGAUUCAUUGGGCGUAAAGGGUGCGCAGGCGGCCGGGUGUGUCAGAUGUGAAAUCCCGAGGCUUAACCUCGGAACUGCGUCUGAAACUACUCGGCUAGAGUACUGGAGAGGGUAACGGAAUUCACGGUGUAGCAGUGAAAUGCGUAGAUAUCGUGAGGAACACCAGAGGCGAAGGCGGUUACCUGGACAGUUACUGACGCUCAGGCACGAAAGCAUGGGGAGCAAAAGGG